This 482-nucleotide ribosomal RNA is filed under the name uncultured bacterium. RNAcentral describes it as "bacterial SSU rRNA". It matches the Rfam family "Bacterial small subunit ribosomal RNA", at positions 30 to 536 of the family's 1533-position model. The record is from RNAcentral.
AGUGAACGCUGGCGGCAGGCCUAACACAUGCAAGUCGAACGGCAGCACGGCAGUAGCAAUACUGUGGGUGGCGAGUGGCGGACGGGUGAGGAAAACGUAGGAACGUGCCCCUUGGAGUUGGAUAGCCACGGGAAACUGUGGGUAAACCGACAUAGACUCGAGAGAGUAAAGGCCGAAAGGCGCCAAGGGAGCGGCCUGCGGCCCAUCAGGUAGUUGGUAGUGUAAAGGACUACCAAGCCGACGACGGGUAGCCGGUCUGAGAGGAUGGCCGGCCACAAGGGCACUGAGAGACGGGCCCUACUCCUACGGGAGGCAGCAGUGGGGGAUUUUGGACAAUGGGCGAAAGCCUGAUCCAGCGACGCCGCGUGGAGGACGAAGCCCUUCGGGGUGUAAACUCCUUUUCUCAGGGAAAAGGAUGAUGGUACCUGAGGAAUAAGCCCCGGCUAACUACGUGCCAGCAGCCGCGGUAAGCCUAGUCUACG